Molecule: long non-coding RNA, 622 nt
Filed under: Homo sapiens (human)
Lineage: Eukaryota; Metazoa; Chordata; Mammalia; Primates; Hominidae
Description: non-protein coding THSD4-AS1:2
Source: RNAcentral
GAGUACUCAAUGAUUCUAGUUGAAAGAAAGAAAAAAGGAAGGAAGAAAGGAGGAAGAGGCAGGCACAAGACAAAAUGAAUCUCUCCGCUGUGCACAUGGAGCCUUAGCUCUGAUUCCAGUUGAGCAAAAUUAUGAAGAAGAUGAUUCCCCAUAUGGAUGACAGAUAAACACCCUGUGGCGAGUCACUCACUCCCGAAAGGCCCUCUGAAGGAUCGCGCAUGUCCUGACUGCACAGCCUGCUCCUGAAUAAAUGGAUGUUACUACUACUAGUACUGCUUCUGCUGCCAAGUUUUUGAGCACAUAACCAGGAUGACAACCACAGUUCCACAAAGCUCUGAUAAAACAUCAAAAAGAAACUCACCACCAAGGAAACCAGAGAAUCCUUUCUUGUCUUGAGUGAAUGGCAAUGAUCUUGGUGGCCAAGAUAAUAAAUACACGUUUAUUAUAUUGAAAAACUAUUCUAAAAUAUAUGUUCUCUAUAUAAAGUAAUCUCCACAUGAUUCUGAGAAAAAGUUUAAUCUAUCUUUCUACUACAAAGUUCUUAAUAAUGCUUUGACAAGGAGGUACCAUAUCCCAAGAUGUGAUACACUUUGCUCAGUUUUUAAAUUAAACAUUCUAGAGU